UACAUUACGGCACGUCUGCGUCAACACGUGAUUGCCAUGUCAGGAUUGGAGGUGAAGGAGCUCAGAGAAGUCCUACUUCUCGUGAGAAAUCCUGUCAUGCCUGGAAGUCAUGUGUCCUGCUUUUGUGUCUUCUUCCACGUCACAAUGAUGUUCAUUCUCCUCCAACCUGUUAGUUAUACGCAAAUCAAAUAGUCUGCAGUCCCUGUCCCAGUGGAGCUCUCUCAUCCUUUCUCUUUUGAAUCACUUAUCUGGAGGAACCAGCUUUCUUAUCCUGAGGACACCCAAGCAGCCCUAGAAGAGGCUCUCAAGCUGAGGGACUGCGUCCUGCC
Bos taurus (domestic cattle) is the source of this 329-nucleotide long non-coding RNA. Lineage: Eukaryota; Metazoa; Chordata; Mammalia; Artiodactyla; Bovidae. The record is from Ensembl.